GGAAGCCAGAGCUUUGGCGCAGGCCGCCUGCGCGCUGUGCCAGGAAAGCGCUUGGAGAAAAUGUCCGGCCCCGCGACCUGGGACAGGAAGUGAUGGAGCACGGACUUAGUUUGCCUUUCAGUUCUUGUAUAAAUAGUUUUGAGGGUUGUCUCUGAAUUUUCACUCAGUUGUCUACCAAGAUGUUGAAUGGACCCAGAGCCAAGGACGUGGUCUUUUAUCAGUGGCACCUGAGACUUUCUUCCCUGUGGACGCAAAUCCAUUAUUCAGCACUCUGGGCACAGCUACAGAUCUGAUCAGCUAUCCAUUCUCCAAACUAUCUCAUCCUCUGUCCCAUUUUUCUGUCUCUCUUGUCCACAAGGCAUAUACCUGAGAGUUUUCAAAUUCCUCAGAGAAAUUUAGAUAUUCUGUGGCUUUGGCAUUCACCUAAUGUGUUAAUCUACAAACCUUUUUUACAGUGUGGAUUUUUUUUCAUGAUGUGAAUUCAAGUGGUUUCUAAUGGUCUCUUCAUAAAGUUGUAAACCAAAAGUAAAAUUCUAAGGCCCCACCCCAUCUGAAUGGACCCCUUCUCUGGGCCAGGGCACUCCAAAUUAACCUGAAAACCGUUCAGGCCACGACAUGAAGUGGGGGCGGGUGGGACAUGGCUGACUAUGCCCUCCUCCCUUUUGGAAUUCAGGGAAAGCCAACACAGACCUUAAGUCUAAUGAGAAACACCAUCUAUUCUCUCUGAAGCCUGCUACCCCAAGGCUUCUUCUGCUGAUAAAACUUUGGUCUCCACAACCUCUUAUAACCCAGACAUUCCUUUCUAUUGGUAAUAACUCUCAACUAAUUGCCAAUCAGAACAUUUUUAAAUCUACCUAUAACCCAGAAGCCCCCACUUUGAGUUGUCCUGCCUUUCUGGACUGAACCA
RNAcentral lists this long non-coding RNA (907 nucleotides) under Homo sapiens (human). RNAcentral describes it as "non-protein coding lnc-CCDC127-1:3". The record is from RNAcentral. Lineage: Eukaryota; Metazoa; Chordata; Mammalia; Primates; Hominidae.